GGGUUCAUACGUUGGUCGGGCUAUUUGGUCUGUACUUAUGUAAUGGAUUCCUACAUUCCGAAUAACCGGCAUGUCAUUAAUUUGGUGCGCCGGGGAAGCAGGACUGUUACCUUGAAAAAAUUAGAGUGUUUAAAGCAAGCUAACGCUUGAAUACAUUAGCAUGGAAUAAUGAAAUAGGAUGUUCGAUCCUAUUUUGUUGGUUUCUAGGAUUGACGUA
This 217-nucleotide ribosomal RNA is filed under the name Campeiostachys nutans. RNAcentral's name for it is "Elymus nutans partial small subunit ribosomal RNA". It matches the Rfam family "Eukaryotic small subunit ribosomal RNA", at positions 667 to 864 of the family's 1831-position model. The record is from RNAcentral. Lineage: Eukaryota; Viridiplantae; Streptophyta; Magnoliopsida; Poales; Poaceae.